GCUGGUUUAGCUCAGUUGGUAGUAGCGCGAAUUUUGUAAAUUCGAGGUCGAGAGUUCGAAUCUUCUCAAUCAGCU
RNAcentral lists this transfer RNA (75 nucleotides) under Bacteroidota bacterium. RNAcentral's name for it is "Bacteroidetes bacterium (grounwater metagenome) tRNA-Thr". It matches the Rfam family "tRNA". From Rfam's summary of the family: Transfer RNA (tRNA) molecules are approximately 80 nucleotides in length. Their secondary structure includes four short double-helical elements and three loops (D, anti-codon, and T loops). The record is from RNAcentral. Lineage: Bacteria; Pseudomonadati; Bacteroidota.